GCAUAUCAAUAAGCGGAGGAAAAGAAACCAACAGGGAUUGCCUUAGUAACGGCGAGUGAAGCGGCAAAAGCUCAAAUUUGAAAUCUAGCACUUUCAGUGUUCGAGUUGUAAUUUGAAGAAGGUAACUUUGGAAUUGGCUCUUGUCUAUGUUCCUUGGAACAGGACGUCACAGAGGGUGAGAAUCCCGUGCGAUGAGAUGUCCAAUUCUAUGUAAAGUGCUUUCGAAGAGUCGAGUUGUUUGGGAAUGCAGCUCUAAGUGGGUGGUAAAUUCCAUCUAAAGCUAAAUAUUGGCGAGAGACCGAUAGCGAACAAGUACAGUGAUGGAAAGAUGAAAAGAACUUUGAAAAGAGAGUGAAAAAGUACGUGAAAUUGUUGAAAGGGAAGGGCUUGAGAUCAGACUUGGUAUUUUGUGUUCCUUAUUCUUUUUGGAUUUGGUUCCUCACAGCUUACCGGGCCAGCAUCGGUUUGGAUGGUAGGAUAAUGACAUUGGAAUGUAGCUUUGCUUCGGUGAAGUGUUAUAGACUUUGUUGAUACUGCCUAUCUAGACCGAGGACUGCGUC
Molecule: ribosomal RNA, 560 nt
Filed under: Dujonia oleophila
Lineage: Eukaryota; Fungi; Ascomycota; Pichiomycetes; Serinales; Debaryomycetaceae
Description: eukaryotic LSU rRNA
Rfam family: Eukaryotic large subunit ribosomal RNA
Source: RNAcentral